This 78-nucleotide transfer RNA is filed under the name Leadbetterella sp. RNAcentral describes it as "tRNA-Ala". It matches the Rfam family "tRNA". From Rfam's summary of the family: Transfer RNA (tRNA) molecules are approximately 80 nucleotides in length. Their secondary structure includes four short double-helical elements and three loops (D, anti-codon, and T loops). The record is from RNAcentral. Lineage: Bacteria; Pseudomonadati; Bacteroidota; Cytophagia; Cytophagales; Leadbetterellaceae.
UGAGGCAUAGUUCAGUGGUGGGAACAUCGGACAUUGGCAAUCCGAAGGUCGGGGGUUCAAAUCCUUCUGCCUCAGCCA